Molecule: ribosomal RNA, 495 nt
Filed under: uncultured bacterium
Lineage: Bacteria
Description: partial 16S ribosomal RNA
Rfam family: Bacterial small subunit ribosomal RNA
Source: RNAcentral
GAUGAACGCUAGCGGGAGGCCUAACACAUGCAAGCCGAGCGGUAUUGUUUCUUCGGAAAUGAGAGAGCGGCGUACGGGUGCGUAACACGUGUGCAAACUGCCUUUAUCUGGGGGAUAGCCUUUCGAAAGGAAGAUUAAUACUCCAUAAUAUAUUGAACGGCAUCGUUUAAUAUUGAAAGCUCCGGCGGAUAGAGAUGGGCACGCGCAAGAUUAGCUAGUUGGUGAGGUAACGGCGCACCAAGGCGAUGAUCUUUAGGGGGCAUGAGAGGGUGAUCCCCCACACUGGGACUGAGACACGGACCAGGCUCCGACGGGAGGCAGCAGUGAGGAAUAUUGGUCAAUGGGUGCAAGCCUGAACCAGCCAUCCCGCGUGAAGGACGACUGCCCUAUGGGUUGUAAACUUCUUUUGUAUAGGGAUAAACCUACCCUCGUGAGGGUAGCUGAAGGUACUAUACGAAUAAGCACCGGCUAACUCCGUGCCAGCAGCCGCCGUAA